RNAcentral lists this ribosomal RNA (254 nucleotides) under uncultured bacterium. Its description in RNAcentral is "partial 16S ribosomal RNA". It matches the Rfam family "Bacterial small subunit ribosomal RNA", at positions 524 to 776 of the family's 1533-position model. The record is from RNAcentral.
UACGUAGAGGGCAAGCGUUGUCCGGAUUUAUUGGGCGUAAAGAGCUCGUAGGCGGCUCGGUAAGUCGGAUGUGAAACCUCCAGGCUCAACCUGGAGACGCCAUCUGAUACUGCCGUGGCUUGAGUCCGGUAGAGGAGUAGGGAAUUCCUGGUGUAGCGGUGAAAUGCGCAGAUAUCAGGAGGAACACCAGCGGCGAAGGCGCUGCUCUGGGCCGGUACUGACGCUGAGGAGCGAAAGCGUGGGGAGCGAACAGG